GAUGAACGCUGGCGGCGUGCCUAAUACAUGCAAGUCGAGCGAACAGACGAGGAGCUUGCUCCUCUGACGUUAGCGGCGGACGGGUGAGUAACACGUGGAUAACCUACCUAUAAGACUGGGGUAACUUCGGGAAACCGGAGCUAAUACCGGAUAAUAUAUUGAACCGCAUGGUUCAAUAGUGAAAGACGGUUUUGCUGUCACUUAUAGAUGGAUCCGCGCCGCAUUAGCUAGUUGGUAAGGUAACGGCUUACCAAGGCAACGAUGCGUAGCCGACCUGAGAGGGUGAUCGGCCACACUGGAACUGAGACACGGUCCAGACUCCUACGGGAGGCAGCAGUAGGGAAUCUUCCGCAAUGGGCGAAAGCCUGACGGAGCAACGCCGCGUGAGUGAUGAAGGUCUUCGGAUCGUAAAACUCUGUUAUUAGGGAAGAACAAAUGUGUAAGUAACUAUGUACGUCUUGACGGUACCUAAUCAGAAAGCCACGGCUAACUACGUG
This 497-nucleotide ribosomal RNA is filed under the name uncultured bacterium. RNAcentral's name for it is "partial 16S ribosomal RNA". It matches the Rfam family "Bacterial small subunit ribosomal RNA", at positions 28 to 507 of the family's 1533-position model. The record is from RNAcentral.